Molecule: non-coding RNA, 507 nt
Organism: Microcebus murinus (gray mouse lemur)
Lineage: Eukaryota; Metazoa; Chordata; Mammalia; Primates; Cheirogaleidae
Source: the annotation of a RefSeq genome assembly
GCUCUGGGAGAGGAGCCCCAGCCCCGGCAUUCCCAGGUGUCCACAUUCAGUGAUCAGGACAGAACACAGAGACUCACCAUGGAGUCUAGACUGAGAUGGGUUUUCCUUGUUGCUCUGUUACAAGGUGUCCAGUGUGAGGUGCAGCUGGUGGAGUCUGGGGGAGGCUUGGUCCAGCCUGGGGGGUCCCUGAAACUCUCCUGUGCAGCCUCUGGAUUCACCUUCAGCAGCUACGAUAUGCAUUGGGUCCGCCAGGCUCCAGGGAAAGGGCUGGAGUGGGUCUCAGUCAUUGGUAUUGGUGGUAGCACAUACUAUGCAGAUGCCAUGAAGGGCCGAUUCACCAUCUCCAGAGACAACGGCAAGAACAUGCUGUAUCUGCAGAUGAGCAGUGUGCAAGCUGAGGACACGGCCGUGUACUACUGUACAAGAGACACAGUGAGGGGACAUCAGUGUGAGCUGAGUCACAAACCUCCUGUGCGGAUGUGGCAGCUGCCAGGGGGCGCGUGGUAA